UGGGGAAUUUUGGACAAUGGGCGCAAGCCUGAUCCAGCCAUGCCGCGUGAGUGAAGAAGGCCUUCGGGUUGUAAAGCUCUUUCGGCCGGGAAGAAAUCGUGGUCUCUAACAUAGGCCAUGGAUGACGGUACCGGACUAAGAAGCACCGGCUAACUACGUGCCAGCAGCCGCGGUAAUACGUAGGGUGCGAGCGUUAAUCGGAAUUACUGGGCGUAAAGCGUGCGCAGGCGGUUUGCUAAGACAGGUGUGAAAUCCCCGGGCUUAACCUGGGAACUGCGCUUGUGACUGGCAGGCUAGAGUACGGCAGAGGGGGGUGGAAUUCCUGGUGUAGCAGUGAAAUGCGUAGAGAUCAGGAGGAACACCGAUGGCGAAGGCAGCCCCCUGGGCCUGUACUGACGCUCAUGCACGAAAGCGUGGGGAGCAAACAGG
RNAcentral lists this ribosomal RNA (429 nucleotides) under uncultured Thauera sp. RNAcentral describes it as "bacterial SSU rRNA". It matches the Rfam family "Bacterial small subunit ribosomal RNA", at positions 355 to 776 of the family's 1533-position model. The record is from RNAcentral. Lineage: Bacteria; Pseudomonadati; Pseudomonadota; Betaproteobacteria; Rhodocyclales; Zoogloeaceae.